This is an RNA transcript of Manis pentadactyla (Chinese pangolin), 3357 nucleotides long. It is a transcript of the gene named ring finger protein 121, with no coding region annotated. The transcript has 11 exons. Lineage: Eukaryota; Metazoa; Chordata; Mammalia; Pholidota; Manidae. The record is from RefSeq and is a predicted model, not a curated record.
CGGAAGCAGCUGGCUCGCUCGGGGUCGAGGGGGCGGGGAGAGCUGUGAAGAUGGCGGCAGUCGUGGAGGUGGAGGUUGGAGGUGGUGCUGCCGGGGAACGGGAGUUGGAUGAGGUUGAUUUGUCAGACCUCUCCCCAGAGGAGCAGUGGAGGGUCGAGCAUGCACGCAUGCAUGCCAAGCACCGUGGCCACGAAGCCAUGCACGCUGAAAUGGUCCUCAUCCUCAUCGCUACCUUGGUGGUAGCCCAACUGCUCCUGGUGCAGUGGAAACAGAGGCACCCCCGCUCCUACAAUAUGGUGACCCUCUUUCAGAUGUGGGUUGUUCCCCUCUAUUUCACAGUGAAGCUGCACUGGUGGAGAUUCCUAGUGAUCUGGACCUUGUUCUCUGCUGUCACAGCCUUCGUCACCUUCCGAGCCACCAGAAAACCACUAGUACAGACCACCCCAAGGCUUGUUUAUAAGUGGUUCCUGCUAAUCUAUAAAAUCAGCUAUGCCACUGGCAUUGUUGGCUACAUGGCUGUCAUGUUUACCCUCUUUGGUCUUAACUUACUAUUCAAGAUCAAACCAGAAGAUGCUAUGGACUUUGGCAUUUCUCUCCUCUUCUAUGGUCUCUACUAUGGAGUUCUUGAGCGGGACUUUGCAGAAAUGUGUGCAGACUACAUGGCAUCCACCAUAGGGUUCUACAGCGAGUCGGGCAUGCCUACCAAACACCUUUCAGACAGUGUAUGUGCCGUGUGUGGGCAGCAGAUCUUUGUGGAUGUCAGCGAAGAGGGCAUCAUCGAGAACACGUAUAGGCUGUCUUGCAAUCACGUAUUCCAUGAGUUCUGCAUCCGCGGCUGGUGCAUUGUUGGAAAGAAGCAGACGUGUCCCUACUGCAAAGAGAAGGUAGACCUCAAGAGGAUGUUCAGCAACCCCUUCUCUCUCCCAGCUGUGGCUUCCCAUGGUCCCCCACUGCUCACACCAGGGGGCCCAUCCUCAGAGGAAUGGGGACUGCCGACGAGUCAAGGGUUCAUCCUUUUGCUCUUGUCCCCCCUACACGUUCUUACUCACGUGAGAAGCUGAGGCCAGGCUGUCCAAGGCCGUCCUCAUACUUCCACAGUCCUGAGCCCCAUGAACUCCUAGCGGCCCAGCUCUGGUCUUAUUUACACUCUAAGGUAGAGUCCCAUCUCCUCUUCCUCCCGUCCCCCAAAGGACUGUGUGUCUCAGAAGCCCCAAGCAGCCUCGCCUCCUGACCUAACUACUGGAGUACUGGUGUUCCUAGGGAGGAGUCUCUGAUGUUCCUGAUGGAUCUUGCAAACCCAUUUCCAUCUCCUGGCCUCCUGCUCCAUUUCCAGAGUUCUGUCCUGAUCACAGAGGUCACAACCCGAGACACUCAGGUCUCUUACUUCACACUUGGUCUGUACACACCAAUCACAGUCCUGGCCUUUCUGCCUCCACAGACACUUGCACGACCCUGAUGGUGAGCGCCUUCCUCGCCGUUCCACAGCCCCACCCAUUUGUGCCAUCAGUGACCAGAGUGACAUAUUUAUACACUGUUGCCCGAGCCUGUGCUGGGCUGUCGCUCCUCUUCCCUGGGUGGUGCCCUCCCCUCCUUUUAAGGCCAGUGCCCUAGCUGGUGUUCCAGGUUCUCAGUUUGGCUCGGAGAGCUUCCUGCAGACAAGACUGGGUCAGACUCAGCUAGUUGAGCCGUGGAGCUCCAGGGAGGGGGGAUUCGAAGGAGGAGGGCUCUUUGGGGGUAGGCAAAGGGACUCCAGACUUACUGGUGAACCUAGACUGUAGCUCUGGCCAAGGGGUUGGGCUGAGAGAAGUGAGGAGGAUUUGCUGGGAUGAUGGGUGCGUGUUGGGGUGGUGGUUAGAGGGAGAGCCUGAGAAAGGCCAGGAUGUGGAUGGUCGAUGGGCUGGUGUGACACUGAACCUGAAAUGAUAAAAUGAUUCAACUUGGGGUCCCCAGUGCCAAGGAGAGUUGUCCCCUCCAAUAUGGCUGUGAAAUGUGAGAAAAGAAGCAGGGCAUCUACUCCUGCAGGAGCAAAGGCCUGGAUGCAGGGCAAAGAUGGAUACCAAAGUCCCAAUCCUUGCCUGGGACAGAAUUGAUCUGUGAGGGACUCAUUACUUCAUGCCUGAUGUGACCCUGGGAGGCUGAAGCUGAGGCUGGAUCGAAGUUUGUUACCCUGGUCUGAUAUCAUCUGGAAGCGGGGAGCCUGGGAAUUAAUGAGCAGGAGGAUUCAAGGCCACUGUAAGCUUUGCUCCGGAAGAGGUACAGUGUGCGGGAGGGCAGUCGCCAUGCAUUUGUGCUUUGUCUGCUAGUGACCUGGAGCCUGCUCUGGAUUCCCUAGUUAGAAUAAAAGUGAAAGUGAAAUAGGAAGGGGGCAGUGCUUUUCCCAGAAGGAUUUCACUUACCCUGCCCUUCCCAGAACCAGCCCUGGCUGUGUGGAGAGAGCUUUGUGACUAGGUAAGUCCCAGCCCCGACUUGGGCCUCAGUUUCUCCAUCCCUAUAAUGAAAGGGUUAGGUUAAACAAACAUUAUUACCAUAAUGGUAAUGGUAAUAAGACCUAGGGUGGAGAAAGAGUGUCACUGGAUCAUCUCCAGCUUUGUUUUAACUGCUGGAAGAGCCCCAACCUGUGACAGAUGCCUGGGCAAAUAGGAUAGUAAACAAAUAGCAGUGCCUGGCAGCCUGCUUCAAGUUUAGACCUAGAGAGGGGAGUCUGUGGGAAGGGAGGCCACCGAGGUUUAUUCAUCAUUCCCGUCCCCACCCACCUCCUCCCUGACCUCCCCCAGAGAGGAGGAAGUUGUCACAGAUAAAUAGAGCCAAGCACGCCAGCUCCAGACACAUGCCAGCUCCUGACACACGCAUCAUGACCAUGAGACAGAACUGGAUACCAGACUCCAGGCCUCUGUGGGUCCUGCUCCUGUGUGCUCACGUCAUCUCCCUCCUGGCCAGAGCCACACCUUUACCUCAGGCCACCACCGCUGCCACUGCCUCAGCUGGGGGCAUGAAGGACCCCUGCCUCUCCUGGCUCCCAAUACUCCCAGCAGCUAAGCAGUGCCCAGCAUUGGAGGUGACUUGGCCAGAAGUGGAAGUUCCACUGAGUUCCCUCUGCCUCAACAGACUGACAGAUGAACUCUGAAGCCCGGAUGAAAUGCCACCUCUUCUUCGAGGGCCGUGCUGUCCGUCAGCUCAGGCCAUGUUCUGCAGUGACUUAGUGUUGUGUUUGUGGGUUUUUAUACCUCUAAUGGACUGUCCCAGGGAAGGGAUGGGGGCAGGCUGCUUCUGACCAACAGCUGUAUCCUCUCAUGCAUCCUUUUCAUGCCCAUCAUCAGGACCCAUAAUGGGCACUCAUAAAUGAAUUUUUAAUGGAGA